Molecule: long non-coding RNA, 3791 nt
Filed under: Anolis carolinensis (green anole)
Lineage: Eukaryota; Metazoa; Chordata; Lepidosauria; Squamata; Anolidae
Description: lncRNA (ENSACAG00000041249.1)
Source: RNAcentral
GAAGCAUCUUCUCCCCACUUCUCUGUGCUGCUGGCACAGUCCUUCAGAGUCCAUCAUAUGAUGCAGGGCUACUUCUGGUAGGGUUCUGUGGGGCUCUGUGCCGGUAGCAUGCCAACAGUGGAGUACAGAGGAUUCCUUAAACAAAAAAGCUAGAGGAGGCGAAGAGGAAGUGGGGGAGAGUGGGUAAACAUUGUGGAAAGGGAUACCAUAACCCCAGUGAUCCCAAUGAACACAACCGUAAUGGUAUCCUGACAUUUCCCUUGCUUUGUAAGGGCCCUCUGAUGAGGUCCUAAAUCUGUGAUAUACCUCAAAAAUCCCAUUCCCCUGCAGAUUCUAUGUCUUCAUUCCUCCUCUUUUCCUGUUUCCUCACAUAAAAUAUACAGGAAAAAGGUAAUGAAGCAUUGAGACUUAACAAUAAUCGGUAUUCAACUUACUGAGAAUAUGAUCCAUUUUCUACAUUUCUACGUUUCCACACAUUGGUGUGUGUGUGUGUGUAUGUGUGGAAACCAUGUUUCCAAAUGGAAAGCCUUUCGUGUGACCAUAGGAAUAGCAUCCAGAUAUUUUCAAGGCACAGUUCUGGUCACAAGAUGAUGAACACGUACUGAAAAGCCCAAUUGCUUACCAGACCAGCCUACCUAGAUGAUUUUUUUCCCAAGAUGAAUCUGCCACUCAAAAAAUAUCUUCAAGAGACACCCUCUCUAAGUCUUGGGGGAGGAGCUAUGGGUGAUGUCUUCUCAGUGGUGGUCCCAGGCUUCGAUCAGAGUAAUUUUGAGUCUUACCUGCCCUGGCUCCAGGGAUGACCAUUUCCAGGCAUUCAGGGCUCUGGGGGUAUCAUGGCAGUCCCACAAACUUCACUUGCAAAAUCCUCGGUGCUUUGCUGAUCUUCCCCUUCCACCCCAGCAGUCGAACCCGCUGCUAAUGAAAGUUACAAUUUGGGGCAGACAGAUGGGGCUGUUGCAACCCAGAUAAUUCUCCUCCUCUAGACCCUGUCAGUUCCUCUGGGUAGUGUUUCUACUGCUGCCACCUCCAGGCUAAGGGAGAAGAAGAAAGACCAAGUCAGUUUAUCCAUUUCCGCUAUUCUAAAAACUUUUGCAAUCCAGUCUGACAUUGUCGGAAGGUGUGACUACUUCCAAUGUUGUGCAUACUGUGGCAUCCAUGCUGCAUUUAUCAUGUUGUGCAAUACUUGAUUUUGUUUAUUUGGCAUUCCCAAUAAAAAUAAUUCAGGCUCUACUGGUAUCUUUGAUUUUAAAAAUUCCUGCAAUGUUUUUUCUACCUUGCCCUAGAAUUCCCUUGCUUUUUAAAUAAGAUCACCACUUGUAGAAUAAAGUUCAUUCUCUUUUCUUUCAUUUCCAACACUUAUUGUUUUUCCCUUAUACGUUUUAUCAAGUUUUGUUGGGGUUAAGUACCACCUGUUCAUUUUAUAAAAGGUUUUUCUAAGGUCAUAACACAAAAUUUUCUUUAAGUCAUUUGACCACAUUUUUCAAAUAUAUCUAAUUCUAUGUUGUGUCCAGCAUUUUGUGCCCAUUUAUUCAGCUUCUCUUUUGAGUUCAAGAUAGAAAAAUCUUCAAGCAGAUAAUAGGACAGGAUUGCAGCAACUUUUAAUAUCUUGAUUUCUUUGAUAUCUUUGCAGUUUGACAGCUAUUUACAAUAUAAUUAGAGGAGACUCUAAUUGAAGAAUCAGAUUUCUGCAGUAAUUUAAAAAAAAUGAAUCAGUGUGAGAUCUAAUAGAAGGCAAACAAUUCUCUGCUUGAACCAGAGCUGCAGGAAUACCAGAUGGUAGUAUUACGUGUCUUGAGAAAUGUCUUCCCACCUAAGGACCCCUGCCUCCUCCAGCCAAUCCCCACUUAUAUGCAAAUUCUCUCUCUACUUCACAAUUCCCACCAACCAGGCAAUCUGCAUAAAUAUCCCUCCCACCCAUGAGCCCCCUUCCUCCUUUUAUCUCACAAUCAGCUCCUGCAACCUAAUUUGCAUAUUCAGCCCUCCUCUUGGGAUUGGGACCUCCAACAACUGAAGAAUUUAGUUGGGGGCUGUAAUGAAGUAUGAGUUGUAUUCAUAUUUGUUGUGUUUAACUAUGUGCUUGUGGUUUGGUUGGGUAGGUGUGAGAUGGCGGCAGCCAUUUAGUGGCUCUCCUCUGAGGCAGUUGCCAUGGAGAUGUGGGUGGAGCCAUCUGCUGAGGGGAGGAGAAGUGAAGAGGUUUUUAAAAGUGAAGUCUUAGUCUGUGCUCUGAUGAGGCAUAGGGAAGAUUGAUUCCAGGUUGAUGGGAUCAAGGACACUCAAGUGUUCAUUUUGAGUCGGUUUCAAAUAAAUUUGGUGACUUAUUUAAUGUAGUCUGUGUCCUGGAAAGGCACAGAGAAUCUGUGAUAUUAUAUCACAGGGGUGACUGUGGUUUGAAGUCACUGGAUAGUCCAGGUUUCAGACUUUGGGAACCAAUCCCAGCUGGACUUACAGGAUCAUUGAAGUAACAGUUUAAAAGGAGCAGAGGAAGAAGUUUUAACUACUUUAAGUAAAAGAAGUGAUACUUUAGAGAGUUUGAUUCAUCUCAUUCUAGUAUUGUAACUGUUAAUAAGAAUACCUCUAAGUGAAACAUCUUUUGUAACCACCAAGCUUGUGCCUGAAUAAACUUGAUAUUGUUCUUUUUACAUCAAAGCCUCUGUCGUCUAUAGACUCCCUCAGCACAAUUGCGCUACCAUUUUAACACUGAAUAAAGUAAAAGGCUUCUUCUGAGCUAUUGGGUGGUUGAGCACUUUUAUAAUCUAAAGGUGUCUCUCCACACAGUGGUGGCUGCAUUUCCACUAAUUGGUGGCAGUUAUCUUUUAUUAUUUGGGACAUUAUUCGUUAUUAAUUGGGUCUUAUACGCUACCCUCUUUUACAGGGGCCAAAGGGAGAAAUCUGACCCACACAUCUUCUCUCUUGGGGCCAGGACUUACCUUAGAAGGCAGAAGAUAGAGGUGGACGAAAAGCGGUCUCUCUUUAGAGAUAAAAGAGGGAUGCAAAAAUAUAAUAAUACAAUUAUAAUAAUAAUAAUAACGACGAGGAAUCCUGGAAGGAAAUGGGGAGCUUUGGAAGGGAGCUUACCUUAGAGCGUCCACAGGAACCUCCCUUUCGUAUUUGGUGCCUGCUCAGCAAAAAGGCCAUCACCACUUACUGGCAUCUUGCAAAAAAUCCCAGUUGCCCCCUUCUGUUGGCAGAGGACUGUGGCUCCUUACUCUGAGUUGCCUGGCAAGGUCCACCCUGUUGAAAAGCCCAUGCCAGAGAAGUAGAGGGUGGGGACCCUUGGCUGGAUCUGCCGCAAAGCCCUUCUGUUCAUGAUCAGGCCCAGGAAGGCAGUGGCCAGAGAAAUGUCUGGUCUGUUCAGAAACAAUUGAUCUCCUUGGUGACCACAUAAACACCUCCAGCCCCAGAACCCUAAGCAAAAAUGGAACCUUUUCAAAAGAAUGUUGAAAAGAGGCCUAGGAGGCAGGUUUGCCACAUGCUUCACCAGCCCUGCUCCUCCAGCUUGAAGGGCAGGCAGAGGCCCAAGACAGUGGGGCUCAACCCCUUUGCAUCCAAAGUACUCCCUGGAGAUAUCAGGCAGACAAAUUCUUAGGUUUUCUGGGAGGAAAAGCUCUUUCACACAGCUAGUUGUGCUGUUUGUAAUUUUCUGAAAUAUUUAGAUAAACUUUGUAAGUUUGCCAACUGAUGUCACAAUGGUACAAAAGUCAUUUGGAAAGUAGAUUUCACCUAAUGUCAAUUCAGUGGGGAAAGUACCUUCACCAAUUUGAGGAGCUUCAGACUUAAAGAGUUAGCCAAAA